UCUCCCAUAGCUUAGUUGGUAGAGCGUAAUGCUUAUAUUCUCACAUUCUUCGGAAGUGAAUAUGCCUGAUAGCACAAUCUCGCAAGAGACGUUAAUGUCACGGGUUCGAGUCCCGUUGGGAGAA
This is a non-coding RNA of Melampsora americana, 124 nucleotides long. NCBI's taxonomy places the organism in Eukaryota, Fungi, Basidiomycota, Pucciniomycetes, Pucciniales, Melampsoraceae. The record is from the annotation of a GenBank genome assembly.